UACGUAGGGGGCUAGCGUUGUCCGGAUUUAUUGGGCGUAAAGAGCGUGUAGGCGGCCAGGUAGGUCCGGUGUGAAAACUCGAGGCUUAACCUCGAGAUGUCAUCGGAAACCAUCUGGCUAGAGUCCGGAAGAGGAGAGUGGAAUUCCUGGUGUAGCGGUGAAAUGCGCAGAUAUCAGGAAGAACACCAAUGGCGAAAGCAGCUCUCUGGGACGGUACUGACGCUGAGACGCGCAAGCGUGGGGAGCGAACAGG
RNAcentral lists this ribosomal RNA (253 nucleotides) under uncultured bacterium. RNAcentral's name for it is "partial 16S ribosomal RNA". It matches the Rfam family "Bacterial small subunit ribosomal RNA", at positions 524 to 776 of the family's 1533-position model. The record is from RNAcentral.